Molecule: long non-coding RNA, 207 nt
Organism: Brassica napus (rape)
Lineage: Eukaryota; Viridiplantae; Streptophyta; Magnoliopsida; Brassicales; Brassicaceae
Exons: 3
Source: RefSeq, a predicted model, not a curated record
GUUUAGAUCUUGAAAAGGAUGUUGUUCUUCAAUGGCUGCCUUGAGUUUACCGUCUCUACCAAAUGUCCUUAUCUCAGACACUUGUGGAGAAGCUUAUGGUCUCUGUCAAAGCUGCAGAGCCUUUUCCUUCAAUCGUUUCAGCAUCUAAAACUAUUGCAGUGGUUUCAUCUGGAUGUGUGGAGAUCACGGAGAUGCCAUACAUUUGAC